GCACUGGCAAAAUCCAGUGUCAGGAUUGGAACCCUGUCUCACAACACGUGGCGCAUAGACGUCAGCAUCACUGCUGCUGUCAU
RNAcentral lists this small RNA (83 nucleotides) under Vibrio tubiashii ATCC 19109. RNAcentral's name for it is "isrK". RNAcentral also lists the same sequence under 1 other name. The record is from RNAcentral. Lineage: Bacteria; Pseudomonadati; Pseudomonadota; Gammaproteobacteria; Vibrionales; Vibrionaceae.